RNAcentral lists this ribosomal RNA (415 nucleotides) under uncultured prokaryote. RNAcentral describes it as "bacterial SSU rRNA". It matches the Rfam family "Bacterial small subunit ribosomal RNA", at positions 505 to 918 of the family's 1533-position model. The record is from RNAcentral.
GUGCCAGCCGCCGCGGUAAGACGAAGGUGGCUAGCGUUGUUCGGAAUCACUGGGCUUAAAGAGCACGUAGGCGGCCUGUUAAGCGUCUUGUGAAAUCCCCCGGCUCAACCGGGGAAUUGCUGGGCGAACUGGCAGGCUUGAGGCAAUCAGGGGCGUGUGGAACUCUUGGUGGAGCGGUGAAAUGCGUAGAUAUCAAGAGGAACGCCGGAGGCGAAAGCGACACGCUGGGAUUGCUCUGACGCUGAGGUGCGAAAGCCAGGGGAGCAAACGGGAUUAGAUACCCCGGUAGUCCUGGCCGUAAACGAUGUCCACUAGGUUGGGGAUUCUUUGACGGAUUCCCGGCCGCAGCAAAAGCGUUAAGUGGACCGCCUGGGGAGUACGGUCGCAAGGCUAAAACUCAAAUGAAUUGACGGGG